Molecule: ribosomal RNA, 253 nt
Filed under: uncultured bacterium
Lineage: Bacteria
Description: partial 16S ribosomal RNA
Rfam family: Bacterial small subunit ribosomal RNA
Source: RNAcentral
UACGAAGGGGGCGAGCGUUGUUCGGAUUUACUGGGCGUAAAGGGCGCGCAGGCGGCUCAUUUUGUCAGGCGUGAAAGCCCCGGGCUUAACCUGGGAACUGCGUUUGAUACGGAUGGGCUAGAGUUCGUGAGAGGAGAGUGGAAUUCCCAGUGUAGAGGUGAAAUUCGUAGAUACUGGGAAGAACACCGGUGGCGAAGGCGGCUCUCUGGACCGAUACUGACGCUGAGGCGCGAAAGCGUGGGGAGCAAACAGG